AGUGAACGCUGGCGGUAGGCCUAACACAUGCAAGUCGAACGGCAGCACAGUAAGAGCUUGCUCUUACGGGUGGCGAGUGGCGGACGGGUGAGGAAUACAUCGGAAUCUACUUUUUCGUGGGGGAUAACGUAGGGAAACUUACGCUAAUACCGCAUACGACCUACGGGUGAAAGCAGGGGAUCUCCGGACCUGCGGCGUGUGAAUGAGCAGAUGUCGGAUUAGCAAGUUGGCGGGGUAAGGGCCCACAAAGGCGACGAUCGGUAGCUGGUCUGAGAGGAUGAUCAGCCACACUGGAACUGAGACACGGUCCAGACUCCUACGGGAGGAAGCAGUGGGGAAUAUUGGACAAUGGGCGCAAGCCUGAUCCAGCCAUACCGCGUGGGUGAAGAAGGCCUUCGGGUUGUAAAGCCCUUUUGUUGGGAAAGAAAAGCAGCAGGUUAAUACCCCGCUGUUCUGACGGUACCCAAAGAAUAAGCACCGGCUAACUUCGUG
RNAcentral lists this ribosomal RNA (492 nucleotides) under uncultured bacterium. RNAcentral describes it as "partial 16S ribosomal RNA". It matches the Rfam family "Bacterial small subunit ribosomal RNA", at positions 29 to 507 of the family's 1533-position model. The record is from RNAcentral.